CCUAACAAUAACAUCACUUUUUGGUAUUUGAGAUUUUUAAUGAAAAAUAGUUUAGCAUUCAGAUUUUGCAUUUGUUUGAACUGUACUGAAUUUAAAAUUAAUUCAGAACUAACUAAUUUAGUUGUAAUUAAAAUGGAUCUAAUUUUUAUCUUAUCACUAAGACAAUAGUGUCAUUUUUCUAUAAAUUUGUUACUUUUAAAGAUAAAUCAUAUAUGCACGUUGUUGUUAGGUGCCGUCAAGUCAUUUCUGACUCCUGUGUCUUUAUGAAACAGCUACCACUUUUUUACUGGGUAUAGCCUCUCUUUCUCAUUCUCUUUGUAUAUAUGUAUAUAUAUUUGUGUGUGUGCAUGUGUGUGUAUGUGUGUGUGUUUUCUUUUUAAAGAAAUUGCUAUUUUUUGAGCUGAUAGUUAUAUAACUGAAGUAAGAUUUCAAAAGACUAAAAUAAUCACUUGCUUAUGAAAUAGUUGGGGCCCUGGUAGUACAGUGGUUAAGAACUCGGCUGCAAACCAAAAGGUCGGCAGUUUGAAUCCACCAGUUACUCCUGUAGUUCCAUUCUGUCCCAUAGGGUUGCUAUGAGUGCGAAUCGACUUGACGGCAACGGGUUUUUUUUUUUUUUUUUUAUGAGACACUUACGUAGGAUGGUUUGGAUUAUUCAGUUUAUAUACGUAUUUAGUACUUAAAUCAUCCCAGAAACCAUCUUUUUGGAGAAUAAAACGAUUUUAUAAUAGGGCUAAAUGAAGUUUAAUGUUUGUUCCUUAAGUCACUUAAUUGGUUAUAUUGGUAGUAAUCCUCAGUAUGUUACUCAGUUGUUUUUUUUAAUUUGUAAAAGGGGUUGUUAAAAAGAUUAAACUAAUUCCUGUAACACAUAGUAAGUAUUCAGUAACUGGUAUGUUAAAGUAUGUAUUUGAAGCAAUACUUAUAAUUUAUUACCACCAAAUUAAGUUUUAGUUUCUGUUGAUGGUUUUUGAAACUAGACAUUCAGUAAAAAUAAUAUAUUUAAAUUAUUUAACACUGUGUAGUGCUUUUCUGUGUUCAGAAUGCUUUCCUACAUAUCCUUCCAUGUGUUCAUAAAACCACCCUACACGGUUAUGAGAAAGAGAAUCAUCUGGGCAUGGAGUUAGUAUUAGAGCCUAGAUUGAAAUCCAGGUUGUUUGACUGGGUUGAUAAUUGUCUUCUCUCCCUUCUAUCUUUGAUAAAGAGGUUUAUAAAACAUCCUAGAUUUGGGUGGAAGGUUCCUUUGCUUAUUCAUCUUGCCUUCAGGGUUAGCUAAAGGUCACCGUACUUGGUAAAAAGAUUAGCAUUCUAUGGGGUAGUGCUCUGAGUCAGAAUCAACUUGAUGGCAGGGGGUUAUGGGGUGGAGUAGUCAAGUUUUUAUUCAAGGAUUUAAUGAAACUACGAUUUUUAAAAAUACAUAUUUUCCUUAAAAGUUUUUGUUUAUAGCUUGUAAUUUUAGUGGCAUUAUGAGUAUAUAAAAUGUUACUGUGACUUUGAAAAUAAAUUAUUAAUUUAACAAAUAUUUAUUGAAUACUUACAAAGUUUUGUUUAUUGGAUUUCAUGGUUAUAUGACCUGAUUGAUAUUCAUCUGUUUUAAAAAAAAUUUAGCGUGUAUUCUAUUCUCUAAUAUUGUUCAUUUUGGAAAAUUAGAGAAUUGCUGGGAAUUUUAGAGCUGGAGGGAACCUUUCAAGAGCUUCCAGUGUGUUUAUUUCCUGAGACAGGGUAGUUUUUGUUACUUGAAAGCUUAGUGGUAGAGGGAUGAGAGAGUCUUCAGAGGGAAGAUCUUGAUGGGGUUGGGGUGGAGAUGUUGGUAUUAAAACUUUUGAAAUGGAUUGAGGCCAUUGUUUUUUGUAAACCUUGUUAGGAUUUUCAGCUAAGUUUGGAGGAUUCUCAUUGUGGUACUGUCUUAAGAGAAACAGCAGGUAAUGCUUUGCAGUCUACAGGGGGUGGGCUUUUCUGAUUGUUGGAACUUAUGGCUCUAGUCCAGGAUCCUCUUGAUGGCAAGAAAACAGGCCUGGGAAGAUUGUGAUUUGUUCAAGGUCAGUAGCUGGUUAGUGUCAGAUUCAGAUAUCUGGAUUUCCAGUAUAUUCUCAUUACCUUAGACCUGGUAGUAAUACUUCUGAAAAAUCAACCAUUGAAAACUGUAUGGAGCACAGUUCUACCCUGGCACACAUGGAGUCACCAUGAUUUGAAGUCAACUCGAUGGCAACUUUUUUUUUUUUAGUUACUGUGCUAUGGUAGCAUUUAAGUUUACUAGCAAGUAACUUCUUAAGGAUUUCUUCGUGUGAUUUUCAUUAUACCUAGAUCUAGUGCUGUGCAUCUUAAUAACUUUUAACAUUAAACAAGUACUUAUAAAUAAUAUAAAAACAUAUUGGAAUCUGGGCUAGCAGCAUAGUGAAUGAAGAACAAAGUGUCAGUUAUUUUCUGUGUUAACUAAUGUUUUUGAAGUGCGAAUGUUAACAAACUUCAUUUAGAUAUCUUUUAUAGUAACAUUUAUUGUGCUGUAUAUCUUGAUUUCUUUGAUACUACAGUAUUUCUUAGAAGAAAAAUCCCAGAAAAUAUUAUUUUCCUCCUUUGUUUGCAAUAUUAAUACUAAGAAUCACUAAUAAUAUAAUUUAAUAAUAUGUAUGUGUGUAUGAAUAACUUGUGUACGUGAUAAAAAGUUUGUACGGCCUCUGACAAUUUCUAGACAUAUAUGUUAAACCACUUCAUCUUUGCUUGUUUCAUAGUCUGAUCAGGGUUUUUUUUUUUUAACCAUAAUAAGUAUCAUGCAUCACUUUUAUAGAAUAUGCUAGGAACGAUCAGCCUACAACAGCAGCAAGUAGAUGGCAUUUGAUUCUAAAGAAGUAGCUGUUUAAGAGGUAGAGCUUUAGGUGCAUUUGCAGGUAUAAGGCAAAGUUGUUUUCGUCUUCUUUCAUCUUUUGCAUCCCUUCUUGCUAUUUAUCUUUUGUCUUCACAGCCUCAAACUCUCCUUAUUAAUAUUCAGACCUAGCCUGCCUUGUGAAUUCCUUAAUCAUCUUUAUUCCAACAAUUGAUCCUUUACUAGAAUAUGUUUUAUGUUUUAUAUAAAUCUGAAUAAAGUAAUUGUUUCAAGCGUGAAUGUAAAUAACCUGUUCAUGGCGGAUAGCGUUUUAUUUUUUUUCCUUAAGAUAAUAACUCUCUUUCUGGUGAUAGAAAUAUUACAUGUUCACUGAAGAUACUGAAGAAGUAUAAGGAAGAAAAUAGGAACGCCCAUCAUCAUAACAUCUUUGCAGUUAGAGAAUGAAGAGCCGUGAAACCAUAGUUUCUUGAAGGUAGAGGAUGGUUGUUGAGGAGCAUAAUACUAAAGGGAGAUGUAUUACUGAAACAUAUCUGGAUCUUUAACAGGAACUAGUGUUUGAAGUCAUUGCUGCAGACAUUAAAAUGAACAUGUGCCUGGUUAACAUGUUAACAUGUAUUAAGUUAAAUGUAAUAGAAUAUCUUCAUGUGAGCUUGAAGAUAAAAUUCUGUUGAGCUUUUUUUCUCUUUUGGUUGGAACUAUUUUAAUGUCCAUUUUUAGAUGAUUAUUUUAAAAGUGUAACACAGUAUCAGAACUAUUACUUAUUGCUUUCCUUUGUUUGUACAGGUAUUUAAAUUAAAGUCAGCAUUAUUAUUUCUCAAUAGCCUGACAUACUUUUAUGUGUGUGUGAUUUGUUUGUUACAGUGAUAAAUGGUAUUUUAAAGACUUACUGGUGAUAAAUGGGAAUUGUAUUAAUGCUUUUUGUCUUGAAGUCUUAUAGAUUGUUAGCCCUCUGGGCAGUGGUGGCAUUUAUACCAAAAUUUAGUGAAUGUUGAUGACAAUGGCUAGUUAAGAAAUGGCAGAUUUUGAUCAACUAAUUAUCCUUGUACUAAUAUUAAAAAAUGAUAGUGUUAUUUCACUGAAAUGGAGGAAUAGUGUGAUAGAAGAUAUUUUUGUGUAUUAAAAUAUAACUGCCAUUACAGUGGAAAUUUAAAAAUGAAACCAUUCAAAUCAUUUUCUUUGUGUUUCUGAUAAUACUAGAAGUUGCUGUUGACAUUGUGGUUAGCAAAUUGUGUUCUGUACUUUGGUGCAUGUGUUUAUAGCUGUAUGGUGAAUUUACAACUCUUUCUCUUGUAGUUCUACAUGUAAUAAUAAUCUCAAAUAAAAUUACAUAAUCUUUUUAUUCUGAUAGAGAAGAAAAAGCUGGAUCACUUACCAGUAACUGGAGUUCUCCUAUUGGGUAAUCUCCACAGAUCCACAUUCUUUGAAGUUAUUGUGAAUGCCUUGAGGACCAAGGAACCGUUGAAAUUUCCAAUUUCAGGAAGUUCCAGUGGAUGCCCAUCAGGAAGAUUCUGAUGUUGGACAGAAGGACAAGAGAGGUGGAUCUGUGAGGGAAAAGACCCAAUAGGAUAACUCAAGUUACUGGUAAGUAAUUCACUUCUCAUAAACUUGAGAUUUUUUCCUCCAAUUUCUUCUUUUUGGAAGGAGUUUGUUUAAUUACAAAGGAAGGAAGUGGUUUGGGAUAGCUUCUUUUUGUAAGUUUCAUAUAGAUUAUGGAAUUUAUUAUGUAGAUGAUAAAUACCUAAGUUGUUAAUGAAUAUAUGAAUAAAUUAAUUUUAGUAUAUUUAGCUUUUAGUGUGUUAUCAUUUAUAUAACAGUUGUUCCUAAAAAAUUAUAUGUUCAUUGACUUUUGGUAAAUAGUGUAAUGGUUGUAAAGCAAUGUAGGGAAGCUGUAUGUUGGAAUCUUUUAUAAAUUCCUGUAUUUUGUGAUAUUCUGUUGACAUAAAUACUUGUAAAAUUUAUGCAUGUGCCAAAUUUAGUCAAAUUCUUUUGCAUGUUGGUGUUUGAACAGCAAGAAUAGUUUUUCAUUAAUUGACUAGUACUUCUUAAUGACAUAGUUUUCAUUGUACUUUUUAACUUCAUUGAUGGUAUAUUUGAAAAAUAAUUUAAGGUAUAUUCCAGUUAUAGUUACCACUUAAUUAUUCAGAAUGGAUGGGCUUAUUGAUGUGAAAUGUGGCAGAAUUGGUUCAGUCUGAACUCUGAUUCCUCAGGUAUCAGAUUAUUGAGCCGCCAUAUAAUAUUACAGUUAGAGUUCCUUGCUUCUAGUUUCUCUCUCACUUAUUCUGCAUGGUUACCAGCUUACUAUUUCUAAAACGUCACUUUUAGAACAUAAAGAGCUGAUAAUGGUGCCUUGGUAUAGCUGUUUUAUAAAAUUUGAGUUCGUUUGUUGGUCCAGUUAAGGCAUCUCAUAAUCCAAUCCCAUUCUUUUUAUUUAGCCUUAAUUUUUCCAGUUUGAACCUUUUGUUCCUUUUAUCUAGAUAAUCGUCAUAUUUUUGCAUUGGAUUGUACUUUUUUAUGUUCUUGAAAUGUUCUUUUCUACAUUCUACUUUUCUGUAUUUUAAGACUGAGGCCAGGUUCUGCCACUCCCAUAAAUCCUUUUAUGGUAACAUCUGUUUUCUAUGUUUUCUUAGUGGAAAAAUUGGAAUGGUGGUAAGGAUUGAAUGAAUUAAUCCAUGUAAGGCACUUAGAAGAAUGCUAAGCAGCACGUAGUAAACACUCUUCUUGGCUAUUUAUUUGAAUGCAGAUUGAUCAUAAACAUACCUGUGUCUGUAGAAAUAAUACUUGUCAGUAUGACACAAUUUAGUCUUUAAAUAUUAGCUUCAGGUUGUACUACUAUUUCUUCUGAUGUAAAACUCAAGCUGAGUUGUAAACUGGGCUUUGAACCUGUUCAAUCCAGUUCCAGCCCCUGCUGAGAGUUUGCAUUUCCACCCCAGAUACACUGAAUUUGAAUCUACAUU
This is an RNA transcript of Trichechus manatus latirostris (Florida manatee), 5769 nucleotides long. It is a transcript of the gene named YY1 associated factor 2, with no coding region annotated. The record is from RefSeq and is a predicted model, not a curated record. The transcript is spliced from 3 exons. NCBI's taxonomy places the organism in Eukaryota, Metazoa, Chordata, Mammalia, Sirenia, Trichechidae.